RNAcentral lists this ribosomal RNA (655 nucleotides) under uncultured bacterium. RNAcentral's name for it is "bacterial SSU rRNA". It matches the Rfam family "Bacterial small subunit ribosomal RNA", at positions 8 to 647 of the family's 1533-position model. The record is from RNAcentral.
AGAGUUUGAUCCUGGCUCAGAACGAACGUUAGCGGCGCGCCUAACACAUGCAGGUCGAACGCGACGGGGGCAACUCCGUUGAGUGGCGCACGGGUGAGUAACACGUAGGUAAUCUUCCCUCGAGUGGUGGAUAACCCUCCGAAAGGAGAGCUAAUACAGCAUGAGACCACGGUUUCAAAUAGGAACUGAGGUCAAAGCGGAGGAUCGCAAGACUUCGCGCUUGAGGAUGAGCCUGCGGCCCAUCAGGUAGUUGGCGGGGUAAUGGCCCACCAAGCCUAAGACGGGUAGCUGGUCUGAGAGGAUGAUCAGCCACACUGGAACUGAGACACGGUCCAGACUCCUACGGGAGGCAGCAGUGGGGAAUCUUGCGCAAUGGGCGAAAGCCUGACGCAGCGACGCCGCGUGGGUGAUGAAGGCCUUCGGGUUGUAAAGCCCUGUGAAGAGAGAAGAAUAUGUUUUGGUUAAUACCCGAAGCGAUGACGGUAUCUCCUUAGCAAGCACCGGCUAACUCUGUGCCAGCAGCCGCGGUAAGACAGAGGGUGCAAUCGUUGUUCGUAAUUACUGGGCGUAAAGCGCGUGUAGGUGGCCAAGCAAGUCGGAUGUGAAAGCCCUCGGCUCAGCCGGGGAAGUGCACUCGAAACUGCGUGGCUAGAGU